Molecule: ribosomal RNA, 240 nt
Filed under: uncultured bacterium
Lineage: Bacteria
Description: partial 16S ribosomal RNA
Rfam family: Bacterial small subunit ribosomal RNA
Source: RNAcentral
UGGGUAACCUGCCUUAUAGUGGGGGAUAGCCUUUCGAAAGGAAGAUUAAUACCGCAUAAGAUUGUAGUAUCGCAUGAUAUAGCAAUUAAAGGAGCAAUUCGCUAUAAGAUGGACCCGCGUCGCAUUAGCUAGUUGGUGAGGUAAUGGCUCACCAAGGCGACGAUGCGUAGCCGACCUGAGAGGGUGGAUCGGCCACAUUGGGACUGAGACACGGCCCAGACUCCUACGGGAGGCAGCAUG